This 537-nucleotide ribosomal RNA is filed under the name uncultured bacterium. Its description in RNAcentral is "partial 16S ribosomal RNA". It matches the Rfam family "Bacterial small subunit ribosomal RNA", at positions 355 to 880 of the family's 1533-position model. The record is from RNAcentral.
UGGGGAAUAUUGCACAAUGGGCGCAAGCCUGAUGCAGCCAUGCCGCGUGUGUGAAGAAGGCCUUCGGGUUGUAAAGCACUUUCAGCGAGGAGGAAGGUGGUGAGCUUAAUACGCUCAUCAAUUGACGUUACUCGCAGAAGAAGCACCGGCUAACUCCGUGCCAGCAGCCGCGGUAAUACGGAGGGUGCAAGCGUUAAUCGGAAUUACUGGGCGUAAAGCGCACGCAGGCGGUUUGUUAAGUCAGAUGUGAAAUCCCCGGGCUCAACCUGGGAACUGCAUUUGAAACUGGCAAGCUAGAGUCUCGUAGAGGGGGGUAGAAUUCCAGGUGUAGCGGUGAAAUGCGUAGAGAUCUGGAGGAAUACCGGUGGCGAAGGCGGCCCCCUGGACGAAGACUGACGCUCAGGUGCGAAAGCGUGGGGCAGCAAACAGGAUUAGAUACCCUGGUAGUCCACGCUGUAAAACGAUGUCGAUUUUGGAGGUUGUGCCCCUUGAGGCGUGGCUUCCGGAGCUAACGCGUUAAAUCGACCGCCUGGGGAG